GUUCUCACUUCUCUUUUGUUUACUUACACUCCCUUUUAUCUUAUAGUAAAAAUAUUUAAAAACAAAAGGGAGUGUAAGUGGAUAAAAGGGGAGUGGGAAA
Molecule: microRNA precursor, 100 nt
Filed under: Prunus dulcis (almond)
Lineage: Eukaryota; Viridiplantae; Streptophyta; Magnoliopsida; Rosales; Rosaceae
Description: sRNA ncRNA
Source: RNAcentral